This 926-nucleotide long non-coding RNA is filed under the name Homo sapiens (human). RNAcentral's name for it is "PREDICTED lncRNA (TCONS_00087458)". The record is from RNAcentral. Lineage: Eukaryota; Metazoa; Chordata; Mammalia; Primates; Hominidae.
AAGGAUGAGCAGGCUCUCUGCCAUCUGCCCACCAACUUUUCAAGUUACUUUUACCCACCUUCAAAAUUACAUCUGCUUUUAGCAAGAAUUACUGAUGUGAUAAAGAUGGGAGUGUUCACCAUGCAAGGGCAGGGGAUCCCCUGCUGCUCCACCAUCAGAUUUGGGACACCACCCCCCCCCCGGCCCCACCAGAGGGCAUCAGCUAUGCCUAGAAGGGGACCACAACAGACUCGACAGGAUCCACCGGUUGGGCCCAAGGCAGGAGGAAGGGCGGCGCCCCCAAACUCCCAGGACGCCUGCAGCACCCCCCACGCGCCGCUCUCCGCCUCUGGGGAGCAUCCUGCCACCCCCCGACACACACACCCCGGCUACAUCCCGCCUUCUCACGCUUGGUCAGGCGCUCUGGAGAUGUCGGAGAUCCAGGCUUUUCCUAAAGAGUCAGGAUUGGAAGGCGGACUCCCACCGUUUGCUGAGCUCCACAUGACAACAGCAGACGACAGGCCGCACUGAUCCCACCUGGCUUACAGGUGCUGUCACACAGGCUCCCUUGCUCCUUCAUUCAACCAUUGUUUACAUGUCGUUCAGGACUGCUGACUAAACACUUUCAAGCACAGUGGACCCUUGAACAACGCAGGUUCAAACUGUGCAGGUCCACCCACAGGGAUGUUUUUCAAUCAGAGUUAUACCAAGUGUCCCUGCCUCUCCUGCCUCCCUUCCCACUUCCUCCAUGUCUUCCUCUCUGCCACCCUGAGGCAGCAAGACCAGCCCCUCCUCCUCAGCCACUCAACAUGAAGACAACGAGGAUGAAGACUUCUAUGAUAAUCCACUUCCACUUAGUAAAUGCUUUCUCUUAUGAUAUUCUUAAUGACAUUUUAUUUUCCCAAGCUUAGUUUAUUGUAAGAAUACAGUAUAAAUACACAUACAAA